RNAcentral lists this ribosomal RNA (505 nucleotides) under uncultured bacterium. RNAcentral's name for it is "partial 16S ribosomal RNA". It matches the Rfam family "Bacterial small subunit ribosomal RNA", at positions 28 to 507 of the family's 1533-position model. The record is from RNAcentral.
GACGAACGCUGGCGGCGUGCCUAAUACAUGCAAGUAGAACGCACAGUUUAUACCGUAGCUUGCUACACCAUAGACUGUGAGUUGCGAACGGGUGAGUAACGCGUAGGUAACCUGCCUGGUAGCGGGGGAUAACUAUUGGAAACGAUAGCUAAUACCGCAUAAUAUUAAUUAUUGCAUGAUAAUUAAUUGAAAGGUGCAAUUGCACCACUACCAGAUGGACCUGCGUUGUAUUAGCUAGUAGGUGAGGUAACGGCUCACCUAGGCGACGAUACAUAGCCGACCUGAGAGGGUGAUCGGCCACACUGGGACUGAGACACGGCCCAGACUCCUACGGGGGGCAGCAGUAGGGAAUCUUCGGCAAUGGACGAAAGUCUGACCGAGCAACGCCGCGUGAGUGAAGAAGGUUUUCGGAUCGUAAAGCUCUGUUGUAAGAGAAGAACGGGUGUGAGAGUGGAAAGUUCACACUGUGACGGUAUCUUACCAGAAAGGGACGGCUAACUACGUG